AAAAUGGGAACGGACAACCGACAACAUCUCCCAGAAAGGCAGCAAUCAAAAUAUCGCCGUGGCGAUAUAUUCGUCUUAUUAUUUUGUACAAUCCGUUAUGAGAGAUAUUCAAAUAUAUAUAUAUUUACUAUAAAACUCGUAAAACAACAUGAUACUCUCUGACUGAGUGCAAAAGUGGGAAAAGGCAACCAAUAGAUUAGAGAGCCCAACACACAAAAAGCCCCCUCCUCUCCUCUCCUUUCCUUCCAUUCUUCUUCUUUAUUUAUAAAUUUGAGACGAUCAACUUCACAUUUUUUUUUAUUUUUCUUUUUUUAGAAGAAGCAACUAACCACCACACAUCACCAUGCAUGAUUCAAACAAACAAGUACAACCUAGAAAAUCAAAUUUAGCCAUUAUACUAUAAUCAAUACGAUUACUUGUUUUCACCCUUUGCAAUUCAAAACAAACUAUAUAUCUAUUGUCCGCUUUUAUACUUUU
RNAcentral lists this long non-coding RNA (477 nucleotides) under Capsella rubella. RNAcentral describes it as "long non-coding RNA (CRUB_LNC004521)". The record is from RNAcentral. Lineage: Eukaryota; Viridiplantae; Streptophyta; Magnoliopsida; Brassicales; Brassicaceae.